RNAcentral lists this ribosomal RNA (492 nucleotides) under uncultured bacterium. Its description in RNAcentral is "partial 16S ribosomal RNA". It matches the Rfam family "Bacterial small subunit ribosomal RNA", at positions 30 to 507 of the family's 1533-position model. The record is from RNAcentral.
AUUGAACGCUGGCGGCAUGCUUUACACAUGCAAGUCGAACGGUAACAGGCCUUCGGGUGCUGACGAGUGGCGAACGGGUGAGUAAUGCAUCGGAACGUACCCAGAGGUGGGGGAUAACGCAGCGAAAGCUGUGCUAAUACCGCAUGUGAUCUGAGGAUGAAAGCGGGGGACCGAGCAGCAAUGUUUUGCCUCGCGCCUUUGGAGCGGCCGAUGUCGGAUUAGCUAGUUGGUGGGGUAAAGGCCUACCAAGGCGACGAUCCGUAGCUGGUCUGAGAGGACGACCAGCCACACUGGGACUGAGACACGGCCCAGACUCCUACGGGAGGCAGCAGUGGGGAAUUUUGGACAAUGGGCGCAAGCCUGAUCCAGCAAUGCCGCGUGCGGGAAGAAGGCCUUCGGGUUGUAAACCGCUUUUGGCAGGAACGAAACGGUGUCCGCUAAUACCGGGCGCUAAUGACGGUACCUGCAGAAUAAGCACCGGCUAACUACGUG